ACCUGGCUGGUUCAGUUGGUGGAGUGUGUGAUUCCAGAUCUCAGGGUCGUGAGUUCGAGCCCCACAUUAGGUG
RNAcentral lists this transfer RNA (73 nucleotides) under Canis lupus familiaris (dog). It matches the Rfam family "tRNA". From Rfam's summary of the family: Transfer RNA (tRNA) molecules are approximately 80 nucleotides in length. Their secondary structure includes four short double-helical elements and three loops (D, anti-codon, and T loops). RNAcentral also lists the same sequence under 1 other name. The record is from Rfam by way of RNAcentral. Lineage: Eukaryota; Metazoa; Chordata; Mammalia; Carnivora; Canidae.